Amborella trichopoda is the source of this 259-nucleotide non-coding RNA. Lineage: Eukaryota; Viridiplantae; Streptophyta; Magnoliopsida; Amborellales; Amborellaceae. The record is from RefSeq and is a predicted model, not a curated record.
GGCUACUAGUCUUAGUGUAGGUGAAACUGAUUGGAGUAAUGAAUUUUCUUUCUUUGCGGUUGGGAUUGAUCUUACAGAUGCUGGUCAAGAACACAUGGAGGAUAUAGUUGGACUGUUGUUCAAAUACAUACUGCUUUUGAAAGAGAGUGGGGUCAACAAAUGGAUCUUUGAAGAGAUUUGUGCCAUCGGGGAGACCAUGUUUCAUUUUCAAGACAAAGUGCCCCCCUUCAACUAUGUCGCUAGAGUUGCUUCAAACAUG